AAAAAGACAAACCAUGGGUUUCCGUGUGCAACGUUUGAAUGUCCGUCUUAUAUAAAUUUUUUUUAUAAUUAGUAUUUUCAUUAUUGUUAGACGAUAAAACAUGAUUAAUACUUUAUGCGUGACUUAUCUUUUAAUUUUUUUUCAUAAUUUUUUUAAAUAAAACGGACGAUCAAAUGUUGGACACGGAAACUAGGGUUAGCCUUUUU
Oryza sativa Japonica Group (Japanese rice) is the source of this 206-nucleotide microRNA precursor. It matches the Rfam family "MIR812 microRNA precursor family". The record is from Rfam. NCBI's taxonomy places the organism in Eukaryota, Viridiplantae, Streptophyta, Magnoliopsida, Poales, Poaceae.